UCAGCUCUAACAUCCUCUUCAGAAUCGGUAGAGCGUGUGGCUCUUAACCUCAAGGUUGCGGGUUCGAGUCCCGCCUUGUGAG
This 82-nucleotide transfer RNA is filed under the name Cladophialophora immunda. RNAcentral describes it as "tRNA-Lys (CTT) (tRNA-Lys-CTT-1-1)". The record is from RNAcentral. Lineage: Eukaryota; Fungi; Ascomycota; Eurotiomycetes; Chaetothyriales; Herpotrichiellaceae.